UACGUAGGGUGCAAGCGUUAUCCGGAAUUAUUGGGCGUAAAGAGCUCGUAGGCGGUUUGUCGCGUCUGCUGUGAAAACUGGGGGCUCAACCCCCAGCCUGCAGUGGGUACGGGCAGACUAGAGUGCGGUAGGGGAGAUUGGAAUUCCUGGUGUAGCGGUGGAAUGCGCAGAUAUCAGGAGGAACACCAAUGGCGAAGGCAGAUCUCUGGGCCGUAACUGACGCUGAGGAGCGAAAGCAUGGGGAGCGAACAGG
This 253-nucleotide ribosomal RNA is filed under the name uncultured bacterium. RNAcentral's name for it is "partial 16S ribosomal RNA". It matches the Rfam family "Bacterial small subunit ribosomal RNA", at positions 524 to 776 of the family's 1533-position model. The record is from RNAcentral. RNAcentral also lists the same sequence under 2 other names.